RNAcentral lists this long non-coding RNA (4332 nucleotides) under Homo sapiens (human). RNAcentral's name for it is "non-protein coding lnc-EXOSC6-3:13". Lineage: Eukaryota; Metazoa; Chordata; Mammalia; Primates; Hominidae. The record is from RNAcentral.
GCCCCUCAACCAUCAGGUUCGGCAGCCGGCGGCGCCGCCUGGCAGCUCCUCCUCUUCUCCGCCCCGCUGGCCGCGGGCGCGGGGGACGUCAGCGCUGCCAGCGUGGAAAGAGCUGCGGGGCGCGGGAGGAGGAAGUAGAGCCCGGGACCGCCGGGCCACCACCGGCCGCCUCAGCCAUGGACGCGUCCCUGGAGAAGAUAGCAGACCCCACGUUAGCUGAAAUGGGAAAAAACUUGAAGGAGGCAGUGAAGAUGCUGGAGGACAGUCAGAGAAGAACAGAAGAGGAAAAUGGAAAGAAGCUCAUAUCCAGAGAUAUUCCAGGCCCACUCCAGGGCAGUGGACAAGAUAUGGUGAGCAUCCUCCAGUUAGUUCAGAAUCUGAUGCAUGGAGAUGAAGAUGAGGAGCCCCAGAGCCCCAGAAUCCAAAAUAUUGGAGAACAAGGUCAUGUGGCUGUGUUGGGACAUAGUCUGGGAGCUUAUAUUUUGACUCUGGACGAAGAGAAGCUGAGAAAACUUACAACUAGGAUACUUUCAGAUACCACCUUAUGGCUAUGCAGAAUUUUCAGAUAUGAAAAUGGGUGUGCUUAUUUCCACGAAGAGGAAAGAGAAGGACUUGCAAAGAUAUGUAGGCUUGCCAUUCAUUCUCAAUAUGAAGACUUCGUAGUGGAUGGCUUCAGUGGGUUAUAUAACAAGAAGCCUGUCAUAUAUCUUAGUGCUGCUGCUAGACCUGGCCUGGGCCAAUACCUUUGUAAUCAGCUCGGCUUGCCCUUCCCCUGCUUGUGCCGUGUACCCUGUAACACUAUGUUUGGAUCCCAGCAUCAGAUGGAUGUUGCCUUCCUGGAGAAACUGAUUAAAGAUGAUAUAGAGCGAGGAAGACUGCCCCUGUUGCUUGUCGCAAAUGCAGGAACGGCAGCAGUAGGACACACAGACAAGAUUGGGAGAUUGAAAGAACUCUGUGAGCAGUAUGGCAUAUGGCUUCAUGUGGAGGGUGUGAAUCUGGCAACAUUGGCUCUGGGUUAUGUCUCCUCAUCAGUGCUGGCUGCAGCCAAAUGUGAUAGCAUGACGAUGACUCCUGGCCCGUGGCUGGGUUUGCCAGCUGUUCCUGCGGUGACACUGUAUAAACACGACCCUGCCUUGACUUUAGUUGCUGGUCUUAUAUCAAAUAAGCCCACAGACAAACUCCGUGCCCUGCCUCUGUGGUUAUCUUUACAAUACUUGGGACUUGAUGGGUUUGUGGAGAGGAUCAAGCAUGCCUGUCAACUGAGUCAAUGGUUGCAGGAAAGUUUGAAGAAAGUGAAUUACAUCAAAAUCUUGGUGGAAGAUGAGCUCAGCUCCCCAGUGGUGGUGUUCAGAUUUUUCCAAGAAUUACCAGGCUCAGAUCCAGUGUUUAAAGCCGUCCCAGUGCCCAACAUGACACCUUCAGCAGUCGGCCGGGAGAGGCACUCGUGUGAUGCGCUGAAUCUCUGGCUGGGAGAACAGCUGAAGCAGCUGGUGCCUGCGAGCGGCCUCACAGUCAUGGAUCUGGAAGCUGAGGGCACGUGUUUGCGGUUCAGCCCUUUGAUGACCGCAGCAGGUAUGAUCUCGUGAAACCUUGAGAGAAACUGAAUGAGGAAUGAAACUAUUGUUCCUGUUUCACACAGAAGAAAACUGAGGUUGGCACUCAUGAUGAGCCCCUGUUCUCAUUCUGCAAAUGGUGAAGCUCUCUAUCGUCCUGACCCCACAGUUCCUGUCCCAUGACCAGGGCCCGCUCACCAAGGAGCUGCAGCAGCACGUAAAGUCAGUGACAUGCCCAUGCGAGUACCUGAGGAAGGUUGAUGGACGGAUGGCUACAUGGAUGUGAUGGAGAUGGUUUACUAUCGGGACCUUCCGCAUCCUGCUGAUGUUUUGUUGCUUAGGAUAUGAAUGGCUGAGCGGAGGCUGUAAAACCUGGCACUCUGCUUGGGUAUGAGGUUCUUCCUGCCAUCCUGCCAUCAUUUGUUUUUUAUGUUUUGUCGCCAAAGGUGACCUUGAGGAACCCUGGGAGCUCAGGAAGGAAGGAGCGCCCAGAAGCAGGGACAGGGAGCUGGUUGGGGAGGACCAGAAAUCAGGUUAUCAAUACUCUGGCUGACCAUCGUCAUCGUGAGACUGACUUUGGUGGAAGUCCUUGGAUAAUUAUCAUUAUUGUGUUUCUGGGACGUUACAAAUUUACCAUUCUCUUCUGCACAAUUUACCUUUGUGUGCCUUUCCUGAAGACUAUCUUCUGGUCUCGAAAUGGACAUGAUAGAUCCAGGGAUGUACAGCAGAGAGCUAGGAGGUCCAACCGCCGUAGACAGGAAGGGCUGAGGUCCAUUUGUAUGCACACAAAGAAAAGAGUUUCUUCCUUUCCAGGAAUUAAAAUUGGCCUGGAAGACAUCUGUACUUUAUGGAAACAGGCGGAAACAAAAGUUCAAGCUAAAAUCCGUAAGAUGAAGGUCACAAAGAAAGUCAACCAUCAUUACAAAAUCAAUGGAAAGAGGAAGACCGCCAAAGAACAGAAAAUGUUUCAACGUGCGCAAGAGUUGCGGUGGCGGGCAGAGGACUACCACAAAUGCAAAAUCACCCCCUCUGCAAGAAAGCCUCUUUGCAACUGGCUCUGUGCUCAAGCCCUGCAGAGGGAGAUGGCAGAGAGGAAGGCUGCCUACAAGCAUCACAGUCCCAUCCCUGUUGGUAACCGUGUUGUGCAAAAACACCUUCAUCCCCACCCAGUGGGGCCCCUGAUCUAAUAUUCAAAGUGUCAGAGGUUCCAUAUUUGUAAUAGCAAAUGGGCCCUGACUGUAAAUUAGUGAAGAGUGAAUGUAACUUAUUACCCACAGGGACAAUUCCAAAUGAAGGCCUUAAAUGAUGCUCAGCUAAGCUGGUUCUUGUGUGGCCUCUGUACCUUCAAAAGCUGCCGAGUCCUAUGAUUACACGUGAUGGGACUUGUACACUUGAAGUGAAACAGUUUUAAAACUUGCUUUGUUUAGAAUUCCCACCUCAUUUUUCCAUGGACAAAAGUAUUCUUUAUGUCCUAGUGCACUUACAAUUUGGUAUUACCUGGGAGUGAAAAGAAAUAUUACAGCCAUGCCUAACUGACUUCUUGAGGUAAGAUUGUUCUGUCAGAAAACCCUCUCCCAGUUCCCCUGCAGCUCUUCAGGAAUCCACAUCUCUGCAGAGCUCUUUGUUCUCAUGGGUGGCACCUCCAGAGUGAAGAAGAUCCUUUAUCAAGAAGGGAAACAGGGGAAAUGAGAGGGUCCUGCAGGCAGAGCUGGAAUCAACUUCCACUCUGCCUCUUGCAAGCUGUGUGACCCCGGGCACAAUUUCUCCUUCCUCUGGAAACCUCUGUUUUCUUAGAUUUGGAGCAGGGUGGUCACACUGACCUUGCAGAGUUCCGAGAAUCAGAGACAGAACAUAAAAGGCCUGGAAAACAUUCUCCAAAAAGAAGCUGCAACAUGUGUGGACAAUGGGCUUUUCAUGCCUCUCUUACUGUCUGUUGACCUGGUGCAAGAAACAUGCUCUGGUGAUGGCUGUGAGGGAGGAAUGAGGAUAGACAUAGACACUCCUGUGUCUCAAACAUGCCUCUUUAUUACUCUGUUAUGACUCUGUCUUCCCUGGGGCAGGACCCCAGCCUGCCUACAUUUGCAGACAGACACAGUGGCAUGUGGAGACAACAGUGUGUCCCAAUGACUUUUCUUUACUCCCCAGCUGUCGGCAGUACUCAGUGGAAGGGUGAUAUUAUGACACUGAUACUGCUAUUUUGAAACCUGGAGGAUGGAAAGGUGCAAAAAUCUAUCACCAGCAACAGAAGGUGCAGACCGUGUUGGUGGCGGUAAUUUUGUCCAUCAAAUGAAUAUGUGUGAAAACAUUCCCUUCUUCGGCCCUACAGGUCAGAAUGGCGGCAGCGGAGCAUCGUCAUUCUUCAGGAUUGCCCUACUGGCCCUACCUCACAGCUGAAACUUUAAAAAACAGGAUGGGCCGCCAGCCACCUCCUCCAACUCAACAACAUUCUAUAACUGAUAACUCCCUGAGCCUCAAGACACCUCCCGAAUGUCUUCUUAUUCCCCUUCCACCCUCUCCUCUUCCACCCUCCGUGGAUGAUAAUCUCAAGACUCCUCCCUUAGCUACUCAGGAGGCCGAGGCAGAAAAAUCACUGAAACCCAAGAGGCAGAGGUUGAGUAAGCUGAGAACAGGUCAUUGCACUCAAGCCUGGGCAAUAAGAAGAAAUCUGUGAGUGGAACAAAAGAAAAAAAUCAAAAAACAAAACAAAACCCACACUCCAAAAACAAACUAACAAAGAAUAAAUAAAUAAUAUAAAAAUAAAAUAAAUACUGCAGUCCUU